Molecule: ribosomal RNA, 741 nt
Filed under: Homalogaster paloniae
Lineage: Eukaryota; Metazoa; Platyhelminthes; Trematoda; Gastrodiscidae
Description: 12S ribosomal RNA
Source: RNAcentral
GUAUUUAUUUAGUUCUGGUUAUGGGAGAGGAGAAAGUAAUAAUCACAUAAGAUGUUUGUAUAUAUUUUAUUAAGGGUGCAUGCUAAAAAUUUAGUGAUGGGUUCUUGUUUUUAAGGUAACUUAGAGCAGGGUGCUUUCUAGGAAGUGGUGAAUUCUCAGUGCCAGCCUCCGCGGUUAUUCUGUGGCUUCUUUCUCCUUGUCAGUUAAAAUUAUUUUUAGAGUUAAUUUAAAGAUAUAGGUAGAAUUUUCUUUUAUUGGUAAUUAGCUUUGAAGUGGGUGCGAAGUUUGUUUUUAGAAAAGGAUUAGAGACCCUUGUAUAAAAAGUUUAAGUUUGUUGUCUGUAGUGGAAACUAAAAGGAUUUGGCAGCCGAUGAAGUUCGUCCGGGGGAGUGUGUUCUUUAAAAGAUGAUCCGCUUAGUGGUUUACCUUAUUUACUGGUUAGUGUAUAUCCGGUUUAAGAUCUGUAAUGAAUGUUACGGGUGUAUAUAUUUAGUAUUUAAACCAGGUCUUUGUGCUGCUGAUGGUAAGGUUAGUAAAUGCGCUACAUUAUUAAAAGCUUUUAAUGUAAUGUUAAAAGGUAUUUGGGACUCGGUAGUAGGGGACAAUGAAUUUGUGUUCUCGAAGGGGAUUUAGUUGGGGUACACACCGCCCGUCACUCAGGGCGUUAGCUCUGAUAAGUCGUAACAUGGUAAUAUUAGGGGAACCUGAUGUUAGUUAAUUUACUGUUUAGUAGGUAAGUUA